GACGAACGCUGGCGGCGUGCUUAAUACAUGCAAGUCGAACGGAGCCUAGCCGGUAGUUUACUACAGGCGAAAGCUUAGUGGCGGACGGGUGAGUAACGCGUGGGCAAUCUGCCCCUAAGUCCGGGAUAACAGAGCGAAAGUUCUGCUAAGACCGGAUACUCUUCCUUGGUCGCAUGGCGGAGGAAGGAAAGGAUACGCUUAGGGAUGAGCCCGCGUCCCAUUAGCUAGUUGGUGAGGUAACGGCCCACCAAGGCGACGAUGGGUAGCCGGCCUGAGAGGGUGGACGGCCACACUGGGACUGAGACACGGCCCAGACUCCUACGGGAGGCAGCAGUAGGGAAUUUUCCGCAAUGGGGGAAACCCUGACGGAGCAACGCCGCGUGAGGGAAGAAGGCCUUCGGGUCGUAAACCUUUGUCAUCGAGGACGAUAAUGACGGUACUCGAGGAGGAAGCCCCGGCUAACUACGUG
Molecule: ribosomal RNA, 469 nt
Filed under: uncultured bacterium
Lineage: Bacteria
Description: bacterial SSU rRNA
Rfam family: Bacterial small subunit ribosomal RNA
Source: RNAcentral